Non-coding RNA from Myotis davidii, 73 nucleotides. NCBI's taxonomy places the organism in Eukaryota, Metazoa, Chordata, Mammalia, Chiroptera, Vespertilionidae. The record is from Rfam.
UGCGGUUCUCGGGUGAUGCACCCCGGAAUUGGGCUCCCUCCUCUGGUUCUGGGUGCGUCACCCGAAAACCGCA